UACAGAGGGGGCAAGCGUUGUUCGGAAUUACUGGGCGUAAAGGGCGCGUAGGCGGCCUGCUAAGUCGAACGUGAAAUCCCCGAGCUCAACUCGGGAACUGCGUCCGAUACUGGCAGGCUUGAAUCCGGGAGAGGGAUGCGGAAUUCCAGGUGUAGCGGUGAAAUGCGUAGAUAUUGGGAAGAACACCGGUGGCGAAGGCGGCGAGCUGGCCUUGAACUGACGCUGAGGCGCGACAGCGUGGGGAGCAAACAGG
Molecule: ribosomal RNA, 253 nt
Filed under: uncultured bacterium
Lineage: Bacteria
Description: partial 16S ribosomal RNA
Rfam family: Bacterial small subunit ribosomal RNA
Source: RNAcentral